UACAGAGGUCUCAAGCGUUGUUCGGAUUCAUUGGGCGUAAAGGGUGCGUAGGUGGCGGGGUAAGUCAGGUGUGAAAUCUCGGAGCUCAACUCCGAAACUGCACUUGAUACUGCCUUGCUCGAGUACUGGAGAGGAGAUUGGAAUUUACGGUGUAGCAGUGAAAUGCGUAGAUAUCGUAAGGAAGACCAGUGGCGAAGGCGAAUCUCUGGACAGUUCCUGACGCUGAGGCACGAAGGUCAGGGGAGCAAACGGG
RNAcentral lists this ribosomal RNA (253 nucleotides) under uncultured bacterium. RNAcentral describes it as "partial 16S ribosomal RNA". It matches the Rfam family "Bacterial small subunit ribosomal RNA", at positions 524 to 776 of the family's 1533-position model. The record is from RNAcentral.